AUACGGAGGGGGCAAGCGUUGUUCGGAAUUACUGGGCGUAAAGCGCGCGUAGGCGGGCUGGUUAGUUGGGGGUGAAAUCCCAGGGCUUAACCCUGGAACUGCCUUCAAUACUGCCAGUCUAGAGUUCGAGAGAGGUGAGUGGAAUUCCUAGUGUAGAGGUGAAAUUCGUAGAUAUUAGGAAGAACACCAGUGGCGAAGGCGGCUCACUGGCUCGAUACUGACGCUGAGGUGCGAAAGCGUGGGGAGCAAACAGGAUUAGAAACCCCAGUAGUCC
This 274-nucleotide ribosomal RNA is filed under the name uncultured bacterium. RNAcentral's name for it is "partial 16S ribosomal RNA". It matches the Rfam family "Bacterial small subunit ribosomal RNA", at positions 523 to 796 of the family's 1533-position model. The record is from RNAcentral.